Molecule: ribosomal RNA, 679 nt
Filed under: uncultured bacterium
Lineage: Bacteria
Description: bacterial SSU rRNA
Rfam family: Bacterial small subunit ribosomal RNA
Source: RNAcentral
UACGGAGGGUCCAAGCGUUAUCCGGAAUUAUUGGGUUUAAAGGGUCCGCAGGCGGGCCAGUAAGUCAGAGGUGAAAGUUUGCGGCUUAACCGUAAAAUUGCCUUUGAUACUGCUGGUCUUGAGUUGCGGUGAAGUGGCCGGAAUAUGUGGUGUAGCGGUGAAAUGCAUAGAUAUCACAUAGAACNCCGAUUGCGAAGGCAGGUCACUAACCGCCGACUGACGCUGAUGGACGAAAGCGUGGGGAGCGAACGGGAUUAGAUACCCCGGUAGUCCACGCCGUAAACGAUGGACACUAGCUGUCGGGCCAAUUUGGUUCGGCGGCCCAGCGAAAGUGAUAAGUGUCCCACCUGGGGAGUACGUCGGCAACGAUGAAACUCAAAGGAAUUGACGGGGGCCCGCACAAGCGGUGGAGCAUGUGGUUUAAUUCGAUGAUACGCGAGGAACCUUACCAGGGCUUAAAUGUAGUGGGACAGGGGUAGAGAUACCUUUUUCUUCGGACUCAUUACAAGGUGCUGCAUGGUUGUCGUCAGCUCGUGCCGUGAGGUGUCAGGUUAAGUCCUAUAACGAGCGCAACCCCUACCGUUAGUUGCCAGCGAGUAAUGUCGGGGACUCUAACGGGACUGCCGGUGCAAACCGUGAGGAAGGUGGGGAUGACGUCAAAUCAUCAUGGCCCUUACGA